Salvia miltiorrhiza (redroot sage) is the source of this 1023-nucleotide long non-coding RNA. RefSeq lists it as uncharacterized. The record is from RefSeq and is a predicted model, not a curated record. Lineage: Eukaryota; Viridiplantae; Streptophyta; Magnoliopsida; Lamiales; Lamiaceae. The transcript has 3 exons.
GUUAGUUUUAAUGCAUGAUAGGGGUACUUCCACGUCUUCUUCUUCCUGCCAGUUUCCCCUAUAAAUUUUAGCCAUUCUCGCCCUUUCGAUCACACACGAAGCAGCUUAACUCUUCACCCAACACACAACUCAAAAUCCCAUCUUCUCACCAAGAGUAGCAGGCGACAGUUCGUAGCUCAAAAUCACAGCCCUCAAAAUUUACUUCAUAACAGAACUCCUCAUUAAGGUCCACUUGAGAGAAGGAAUUAGCUUUGCUUUUACAAGAAGAGAAUUGUACAUCUUUUAUCUACAGGCUUGUUCUAUCGAGUGCUCCUAUGUUCUCUAACGAUCGGGUCCUAGCCGGCGUAGCGAUUGGAUCGCCCUGGUUAGGAUUGUGUACACACAAGGGGGUAUUGUGGGCUGCUCCCACUUGCCUCGGACUGUCAGACUUGGGCUGCUCCCAUUUCUGAAACAUGCAUGGUAGUGGACCUCUGUGGGCUGCUCCCACAAGUUCACAUUAUAGGCGAAGCACCAGUAGAGAGAAGACUGAAAAUGGAUCCACAAUUUAUUUUUAUGUAUGCAUAGAAUGCUUUCAAAUAUUUCUAUGUUAUACUGUUCAUAGCAUGGAUUAUUCUUUUAAACGGAUUUUUCAAAUGUUUUCAAAUGGCUAAACCCACUGAGUAUACUAGUACUCAGCCCUGCAAUUGUUUUCAAAACCUUUUGCAGGUUGAGCGGCAGAUGGUGUCGUGCGAAGCUGAGGGAGGGUGUUGCUGUAUUCCCAAAUGAAUGUCAAGAAUAAAUUCCGCUGCCAUAAUAUUCACUUAGGUGGAUAUCUUUUGAGAUUGACUCUUUAAAUAUUCUUAGCCUAAUUAUUAUGAACUCUUUUGGCAAUCGCAUUUCUAGCAACUGAACCUCGCAUAUAUGUAUGUCUAGUUUGAAGUGUUAUCUUGUUGUUUCAGACCUCCGAACUUUUGAUCCUGGUUGGGAGAAUUUCUAUCUAAGUUGUUGUAUUUAUUAUCCUUCAAUUCCGAAAUUCCUUUAUUA